UAGCCUGAAGAGUCUGAACUCACGUUGGC
RNAcentral lists this non-coding RNA (29 nucleotides) under Homo sapiens (human). Lineage: Eukaryota; Metazoa; Chordata; Mammalia; Primates; Hominidae. The record is from RNAcentral.